UACGAGAGGCCCAAACGUUAUUCGGAAUUACUGGGCUUAAAGAGUUCGUAGGCGGCAUGAAAAGUAGGGUGCGAAAGCCCUCGGCUCAACCGAGGAAUUGCGCUCUAAACUGUCGUGCUCGAGGAAUCUAGAGGUGAGCGGAACUGAUGGUGGAGCGGUGAAAUGCGUUGAUAUCAUCAGGAACACCGGAGGCGAAGGCGGCUCACUGGGGAUUUUCUGACGCUGAGGAACGAAAGCCAGGGGAGCGAACGGG
RNAcentral lists this ribosomal RNA (253 nucleotides) under uncultured bacterium. RNAcentral describes it as "partial 16S ribosomal RNA". It matches the Rfam family "Bacterial small subunit ribosomal RNA", at positions 524 to 776 of the family's 1533-position model. The record is from RNAcentral.